GGGAGUGGGUGACUAGUGACAGAGGGAGGGAGAUAGGGGUGACUAGUGACAGAGUGAGGGAAUGGGUGACUAGUGGCAGAGUGAGGGAAUGGGUGACUAGUGGCAGAGUGAGGGAGGGAAGAGAUGACUAGUGGCAAAGUGAGGGAGGGAAGGGGUGACUAGUGACAGAGUGAGGGGGGGUGACUGUCACUAGUCACCCCAUCCCUCUCUCUGUCACUAGUCACUCCCUCCCUAACUCUGUCACUGUGUCACCCGCUCCCUCACUCUGUCACUGUGUCACCCGCUCCCUCUCUCUGUCACUAGUCACCCCAUCCC
Molecule: small RNA, 315 nt
Filed under: Pelobates cultripes (western spadefoot toad)
Lineage: Eukaryota; Metazoa; Chordata; Amphibia; Anura; Pelobatidae
Source: RNAcentral